GACGGAGGAUGCAAGCGUUAUCCGGAAUGAUUGGGCGUAAAGCGUCCGCAGGUGGCCGUUCAAGUCUGCUGUCAAAGACCGGGGCUUAACUUCGGAAAUGCAGUGGAAACUGAACAGCUAGAGUAUGGUAGGGGCAGAGGGAAUUCCUGGUGUAGCGGUGAAAUGCGUAGAUAUCAGGAAGAACAUCGGUGGCGAAGGCGCUCUGCUGGACCAUAACUGACACUCAGGGACGAAAGCUAGGGGAGCGAAUGGG
This 253-nucleotide ribosomal RNA is filed under the name uncultured bacterium. RNAcentral's name for it is "partial 16S ribosomal RNA". It matches the Rfam family "Bacterial small subunit ribosomal RNA", at positions 524 to 776 of the family's 1533-position model. The record is from RNAcentral.